This 128-nucleotide microRNA precursor is filed under the name Pelobates cultripes (western spadefoot toad). Lineage: Eukaryota; Metazoa; Chordata; Amphibia; Anura; Pelobatidae. The record is from RNAcentral.
GUGGUUUCCAACCCAGUCCUCAUGGACCACCAACAGUCCAGGAUUUAUGUAUUUCUCUUUUUUAUUUAAAUGGAGAUACUGACAAAACCUGGACUGUUGGUGAUCCACGAGGACUGGGUUGGGGACCA